CGUCACACUAUCAUUAACUGAAUCCAUAGGUUAAUGAGGCGAACCGGGGGAACUGAAACAUCUAAGUACCCCGAGGAAAAGAAAUCAACCGAGAUUCCCCCAGUAGCGGCGAGCGAACGGGGAGGAGCCCAGAGCCUGAAUCAGCAUGUGUGUUAGUGGAAGCGUCUGGAAAGGCGCGCGAUACAGGGUGACAGCCCCGUACACAAAAGCGCAUGUGCUGUGAGCUCGAUGAGUAGGGCGGGACACGUGGUAUCCUGUCUGAAUAUGGGGGGACCAUCCUCCAAGGCUAAAUACUCCUGACUGACCGAUAGUGAACCAGUACCGUGAGGGAAAGGCGAAAAGAACCCCGGCGAGGGGAGUGAAAAAGAACCUGAAACCGUGUACGUACAAGCAGUGGGAGCACCCUUCGGGGUGUGACUGCGUACCUUUUGUAUAAUGGGUCAGCGACUUAUAUUCUGUAGCAAGGUUAACCGUAUAGGGGAGCCGGAGGGAAACCGAGUCUUAACCGGGCGUUAAGUUGCAGGGUAUAGACCCGAAACCCGGUGAUCUAGCCAUGGGCAGGUUGAAGGUUGGGUAACACUAACUGGAGGACCGAACCGACUAAUGUUGAAAAAUUAGCGGAUGACCUGUGGCUGGGGGUGAAAGGCCAAUCAAACCGGGAGAUAGCUGGUUCUCCCCGAAAGCUAUUUAGGUAGCGCCUCGUGAAUUCAUCUCCGGGGGUAGAGCACUGUUUCGGCUAGGGGGCCAUCCCGGCUUACCAACCCGAUGCAAACUGCGAAUACCGGAGAAUGUUAUCACGGGAGACACACGGCGGGUGCUAACGUCCGUCGUGAAGAGGGAAACAACCCAGACCGCCAGCUAAGGUCCCAAAGUCAUGGUUAAGUGGGAAACGAUGUGGGAAGGCCCAGACAGCCAGGAUGUUGGCUUAGAAGCAGCCAUCAUUUAAAGAAAGCGUAAUAGCUCACUGGUCGAGUCGGCCUGCGCGGAAGAUGUAACGGGGCUAAACCAUGCACCGAAGCUGCGGCAGCGAACGUAUCACCCAAGACAACUUUACGGAGUUGACGAUUGACGGAGCGAAGCGACGUCAAAGCGUUCAUUAAAGUCGAGUUGGCUUAGGGAUACGUUCGUUGGGUAGGGGAGCGUUCUGUAAGCCUGUGAAGGUGUGUCGUGAGGCAUGCUGGAGGUAUCAGAAGUGCGAAUGCUGACAUAAGUAACGAUAAAGCGGGUGAAAAGCCCGCUCGCCGGAAGACCAAGGGUUCCUGUCCAACGUUAAUCGGGGCAGGGUGAGUCGACCCCUAAGGCGAGGCCGAAAGGCGUAGUCGAUGGGAAACGGGUUAAUAUUCCCGUACUUGGUGUUACUGCGAAGGGGGGACGGAGAAGGCUAUGUUGGCCGGGCGACGGUUGUCCCGGUUUAAGCGUGUAGGUGUGUGUUCCAGGUAAAUCCGGUUCACUUUAACACUGAGGCGUGACGACGAGGCACUACGGUGCUGAAGCAACAAAUGCCCUGCUUCCAGGAAAAGCCUCUAAGCAUCAGGUAACAUCAAAUCGUACCCCAAACCGACACAGGUGGUCAGGUAGAGAAUACCAAGGCGCUUGAGAGAACUCGGGUGAAGGAACUAGGCAAAAUGGUGCCGUAACUUCGGGAGAAGGCACGCUGACACGUAGGUGAAGUGAUUUACUCAUGGAGCUGAAGUCAGUCGAAGAUACCAGCUGGCUGCAACUGUUUAUUAAAAACACAGCACUGUGCAAACACGAAAGUGGACGUAUACGGUGUGACGCCUGCCCGGUGCCGGAAGGUUAAUUGAUGGGGUCAGCGCAAGCGAAGCUCCUGAUCGAAGCCCCGGUAAACGGCGGCCGUAACUAUAACGGUCCUAAGGUAGCGAAAUUCCUUGUCGGGUAAGUUCCGACCUGCACGAAUGGCGUAAUGAUGGCCAGGCUGUCUCCACCCGAGACUCAGUGAAAUUGAACUCGCUGUGAAGAUGCAGUGUACCCGCGGCAAGACGGAAAGACCCCGUGAACCUUUACUAUAGCUUGACACUGAACAUUGAGCCUUGAUGUGUAGGAUAGGUGGGAGGCUUUGAAGUGUGGACGCCAGUCUGCAUGGAGCCGACCUUGAAAUACCACCCUUUAAUGUUUGAUGUUCUAACGUGGACCCGUAAUCCGGGUUGCGGACAGUGUCUGGUGGGUAGUUUGACUGGGGCGGUCUCCUCCUAAAGAGUAACGGAGGAGCACGAAGGUUGGCUAAUCCUGGUCGGACAUCAGGAGGUUAGUGCAAUGGCAUAAGCCAGCUUGACUGCGAGCGUGACGGCGCGAGCAGGUGCGAAAGCAGGUCAUAGUGAUCCGGUGGUUCUGAAUGGAAGGGCCAUCGCUCAACGGAUAAAAGGUACUCCGGGGAUAACAGGCUGAUACCGCCCAAGAGUUCAUAUCGACGGCGGUGUUUGGCACCUCGAUGUCGGCUCAUCACAUCCUGGGGCUGAAGUAGGUCCCAAGGGUAUGGCUGUUCGCCAUUUAAAGUGGUACGCGAGCUGGGUUUAGAACGUCGUGAGACAGUUCGGUCCCUAUCUGCCGUGGGCGCUGGAGAACUGAGGGGGGCUGCUCCUAGUACGAGAGGACCGGAGUGGACGCAUCACUGGUGUUCGGGUUGUCAUGCCAAUGGCACUGCCCGGUAGCUAAAUGCGGAAGAGAUAAGUGCUGAAAGCAUCUAAGCACGAAACUUGCCCCGAGAUGAGUUCUCCCUGAGACUUAGAGUCUCCUGAAGGAACGUUGAAGACGACGACGUUGAUAGGCCGGGUGUGUAAGCGCAGCGAUGCGUUGAGCUAACCGGUACUAAUGAACCGUGAGGCUUAACCUU
RNAcentral lists this ribosomal RNA (2851 nucleotides) under Salmonella enterica subsp. enterica serovar Typhimurium str. DT104. RNAcentral describes it as "bacterial LSU rRNA". It matches the Rfam family "Bacterial large subunit ribosomal RNA". Lineage: Bacteria; Pseudomonadati; Pseudomonadota; Gammaproteobacteria; Enterobacterales; Enterobacteriaceae. The record is from RNAcentral.